AAGACGGGAGGCAGAAGGGGGGAAUAUUGGACAAUGGGCGAAAGCCUGAUCCAGCCAUGCCGCGUGUGUGAAGAAGGCCUUCGGGUUGUAAAGCACUUUCAGUGGGGAAGAAAGCCUUGGGGCUAAUACCCUCGAGGAAGGACAUCACCCACAGAAGAAGCACCGGCUAACUCCGUGCCAGCAGCCGCGGUAAUACGGAGGGUGCGAGCGUUAAUCGGAAUUACUGGGCGUAAAGCGCGCGUAGGCGGUCUGAUAAGCCGGUUGUAAAAGCCCCGGGCUCAACCUGGGAACGGCAUCCGGAACUGUCAGGCUAGAGUGCAGGAGAGGAAGGUAGAAUUCCCGGUGUAGCGGUGAAAUGCGUAGAGAUCGGGAGGAAUACCAGUGGCGAAGGCGGCCUUCUGGACUGACACUGACGCUGAGGUGCGAAAGCGUGGGUAGCAAACAGGAUUAGAUACCCGAGUAGUC
Molecule: ribosomal RNA, 465 nt
Filed under: Vreelandella stevensii
Lineage: Bacteria; Pseudomonadati; Pseudomonadota; Gammaproteobacteria; Oceanospirillales; Halomonadaceae
Description: partial 16S ribosomal RNA
Rfam family: Bacterial small subunit ribosomal RNA
Source: RNAcentral